UUUUAAGACAACACAAGGAAGCUUACAUUCUCUCUUGUUUUUUGCUUUCCACCACGUGAGAAUACAAGAAGAAGAUGGCCAGCUGCAAGGUAGGAAGGGGGAGCCCUCAUUAGACACCAGAUCUGCUGGUACUUUUAUCUUGGACUUCUCAGCCUCCAGAAUUUUGACAAAAAAAUAUAUAUAUAUAUAAAUAAUAAAUCUCUGUUGUUCACACCACCUGGAAUAUGGUAUUUUUGUUUUGGCAACCCAAGCAGACUAAGACAGGAAUGUACUUCAAUUUACUCAUCUGUAAAAUGUGUGGAGUGGACAAAGUCAUAAUUUUACCUCCAAUUUCAAGGUUCUGAAGAUCUAGGAAGGUUAAAGUUCUUGAAAGUUGUUGUAAUUUUGGCUCUGACACCAGGAUAACUAAGCGUCAGAUCUGUUCAAUCAGAAAUAACUAUUACAUGAGUAAUAUCAGAAAAGUGUACAUCGUUAAGUGGCUGAUUAACUAAAAUGCAUUUCUGUAAAGUUCUGUACCAAAAUGUUACUGUAAGGAAACCAACACCUCCAUUCUAUCCCUACACCUGAGUUUGUGUCCUAGUGAAAGAUACAGAUCUUUGGCAAUGCAUCAUCUAACUAAGAAGUGGUUUUGAUUUUUGUUUAGGGAUAUACAAUAGGUUUCAGUCCCAUUCUGACAUAACAGUAUUAGAAUACUGAACAUGUAGUCAAUACAUGGCCCCUGAGGUGGUGGAAGUCUUCGUGGACCAGGCCACGUUCUACAAUAAGCAUUGUGACCUGGGGAGCCUGGGCAUGGUCUUCUACAUCAUGCUGAGUGGCUACCUGCCCUUCGUGGGUCACUGCGGGGCCAACUGUGGCUGGGACCGGGGUGAGGUCUGCAGGGUGUGCCAGAAAAAGCUGUUUGAAAGCAUCCAGGAAGGUAUUGUGUGGGUGGCACAGAUCUGGGCAGUUAGAUGGAGCUCUAUGCAUGAGAUGAAGCCACACUGGCGUGAAGCCUCGCUGCCCUGUUUGAGUGAGGCAGUCCCUGCUGCCCGAAUGCGUGAAGGUACAGCCAUUCAGUAUUUGCAGGAAUCCUAAGCAGUCACAUCAGGCUCGAAUUUAGUGAACCUGCUCUUAGUCUCCAAACCUCCCAUCCAGAGCCAUUACAGAGAAAACUACCUCUAACUGAAGUUGCGCAUUGGAACACCUUGUUUAAAGGCCGGGCUUCAAAUUCAGGCAGGUAUGUGUUGAAAUCUCAGCUUCUCUAUUUAUUUGCUAUGAAACAUUAAUAUUCCUGUACCCACACA
Long non-coding RNA from Pan paniscus (pygmy chimpanzee), 1283 nucleotides. The record is from Ensembl. NCBI's taxonomy places the organism in Eukaryota, Metazoa, Chordata, Mammalia, Primates, Hominidae.